GACGAACGCUGGCGGCGUGCUUAACACAUGCAAGUCGAACGGAAAGGCCCUGCUUUUGUGGGGUGCUCGAUUGGCGAACGGGGGAGUAACACGUGAGUAAACUGCCCUUGACUUUGGGAUAACUCCAGGAAACUGGGGCUAAUACCGGAUAGGAGCUUUUGAUGCAUGGUGGGGGAUGGAAAGUUUCGGCGGUUGUGGAUGGACUCGCGGCUUAUCAGCUUGUUGGUGUGGUAGUGGCGUACCAAGGGUUCGACGGGUAGCCCGCCUGAGAGGGGGACCGGCCACAUUGGGACUGCGAUACGGCGCAGUAGCCUACGGGAGGCAGCAGUCGAGAAUAUUGCACAAUGGGCGGACGCCUGAUGCAGCAACGCCGCGUGCGGGAUGACGGCCUUCGGGUUGUAAACCGCUUUCGCCUGUGCCGAAGCGUGAGUGACGGUAAUGGGUAAAGAAGCACCGGCUAACUACGUG
Molecule: ribosomal RNA, 468 nt
Filed under: uncultured bacterium
Lineage: Bacteria
Description: partial 16S ribosomal RNA
Rfam family: Bacterial small subunit ribosomal RNA
Source: RNAcentral